This 250-nucleotide unclassified non-coding RNA is filed under the name uncultured Ascomycota. Its description in RNAcentral is "sequence contains 5.8S rRNA gene". The stretch from base 1 to 53 matches the Rfam family "5.8S ribosomal RNA", at positions 102 to 154 of the family's 154-position model. Lineage: Eukaryota; Fungi; Ascomycota. The record is from RNAcentral.
GAACGCACAUUGCGCCCUUUGGUAUUCCGAAGGGCAUGCCUGUCUGAGCGUCAAUAAAUCAAUCAAACCUUGGUUUGGUAUUGGGAGAAGUGGCUUUGCCUCUCUCCUUUAAGCUAUUGGCGACGCUAUUUCAGCUUGUAAGAUGUAGUAAGUAAUUUCUCGUCAAAGCAACUGGAUGGAUGUCUGCCAAAUGAACGAUUUAUUUAACAGCUUGACCUCAGAUCAGGUAGGGAUACCCCCUGAACUUAAG